Molecule: transfer RNA, 82 nt
Filed under: Felis catus (domestic cat)
Lineage: Eukaryota; Metazoa; Chordata; Mammalia; Carnivora; Felidae
Also listed under: 3 other names
Rfam family: tRNA
About the family: Transfer RNA (tRNA) molecules are approximately 80 nucleotides in length.
Source: Rfam by way of RNAcentral
GCUCAGUUAGUUGAGCAACCGACUCUUGAUCUCAGCUCAAGUCUUUAUCUCACAGUUGUGAGUUCAAGUCCCACACUGGGCU